Molecule: ribosomal RNA, 200 nt
Filed under: uncultured Pseudomonas sp.
Lineage: Bacteria; Pseudomonadati; Pseudomonadota; Gammaproteobacteria; Pseudomonadales; Pseudomonadaceae
Description: partial 16S ribosomal RNA
Rfam family: Bacterial small subunit ribosomal RNA
Source: RNAcentral
UACUCCUACGGGAGGCAGCAGUGGGGAAUAUUGGACAAUGGGCGAAAGCCUGAUCCAGCCAUGCCGCGUGUGUGAAGAAGGUCUUCGGAUUGUAAAGCACUUUAAGUUGGGAGGAAGGGCAGUUACCUAAUACGUGAUUGUUUUGACGUUACCGACAGAAUAAGCACCGGCUAACUCUGUGCCAGCAGCCGCGGUAAUAC